Molecule: ribosomal RNA, 468 nt
Filed under: uncultured bacterium
Lineage: Bacteria
Description: partial 16S ribosomal RNA
Rfam family: Bacterial small subunit ribosomal RNA
Source: RNAcentral
GACGAACGCUGGCGGCGUGCUUAACACAUGCAAGUCGAACGGACAGGCCCUGCUUUCGCGGGGUGCUCGAGUGGCGAACGGGUGAGUAACACGUGAGUAACCUGCCCUUGUCUUUGGGAUAACUUCAGGAAACUGGGGCUAAUACCGGAUAGGAGCUCCUGCUGCAUGGUGGGGGUUGGAAAGUUUCGGCGGUUGGGGAUGGACUCGCGGCUUAUCAGCUUGUUGGUGAGGUAGUGGCUUACCAAGGCUUUGACGGGUAGCCGGCCUGAGAGGGUGACCGGCCACAUUGGGACUGAGAUACGGCGCAGACUCCUACGGGAGGCAGCAGUGGAGAAUAUGGCACAAUGGGCGGAAGCCUGAUGCAGCAACGCCGCGUGCGGGAUGACGGCCUUCGGGGUGUAAACCGCUGUCGCCUGUGACGAAGCGUGAGUGACGGUAAUGGGUAAAGAAGCACCGGCUAACUACGUG